This is a long non-coding RNA of Pezoporus flaviventris, 677 nucleotides long. RefSeq lists it as uncharacterized. Lineage: Eukaryota; Metazoa; Chordata; Aves; Psittaciformes; Psittacidae. The transcript has 2 exons. The record is from RefSeq and is a predicted model, not a curated record.
AUAGAAAGAGUGCUGAGUAUGAAUGAUUGUGUUUCUGGUUCACUGCCUUUGGAGAAUGGAUAAUCUACCAUACAUUACUGUAUAACUAUACUGUAUAACUAUUUUAUGGCACCAAUGACUUUGAAAAUAGCAACAAUGGGGCUUUAUUCUCAGAUUCUGGAGUUAAACAUAGUAUGAGAAUUGGUGUGAUAAAGAUAUGAAGAUUUUCAGAAGCCUGUUGCCAAUAAAUAUCACCUAUAAUAUCCACGAUCGGAUACUUCUGUGCACAAAAUACAUGCAGUUCUGACAUCAGCUCUGAGGACAAUGAAAACUCCAUAGUAAUUGCUAUGAAAAGGGAGACAAAGGGCUGAGACACAAAAUCCAUGCUCUGAAAGACAUGACACAGGAUCUCCAGAGGCAGUACAGGGUAUAAUUAAGGAUCAGAGUCAGGGAACAGAGAUGCUGCUAGAAACAACAAGCACAAAGAACAGCCAUGGAAAUAAGGGACUACGAAGAGGCAGAACCAGGCUGCUGGAGACCACAUGCAGAAUCCCCGCAGGCAUCAAUGCAUGCCCAGUCUUCCAAGAAAACCAUUGAAUUGCUGUGUGUUAGGGAUAUUGGAUAGCUUUCAAGCCACUUUUGCAAACUGAAUGUAAGCUCUGAAAUUACUUAGAAGUAAACUAUCCAAUUUGGCAUCA